Long non-coding RNA from Aquila chrysaetos chrysaetos, 708 nucleotides. RefSeq lists it as uncharacterized. The record is from RefSeq and is a predicted model, not a curated record. The transcript is spliced from 3 exons. NCBI's taxonomy places the organism in Eukaryota, Metazoa, Chordata, Aves, Accipitriformes, Accipitridae.
GUAUUAUGCAUGCAAUAACCUGUUUACUGAGCAGUUGUUGAUCCCACGUAUGUCCCUCUGUGCUGUGGCUGAAGAGGACUUGUUGGGCUCGUGGCUCCCAGGGAAGCUGGGGAGGAGGGAGGUUUGGCCGCCGCACCGCAGCGUGCUUUACUGCUGCCCGUGUGUGGCUGCUCACGGGCUGAGAAUUUCAGUUUCUGCCCAUGGAAACCCCUUCAGAAAUGCAAAGUUUAGAUGAAAAAAAUAAAAGGCACCCCUAAUUUUGUGUAUGAGAGAGGAUCGUUACCGUCGAGAGAUGCCGACAGCGCUGGAGGACACCCCAGUGCGCGUGUCUGAUUUUUCUCAGCUGGGCAUCUCCAGGAGGGCAGAGAAGCAGGCGUGUGCUCUCAUGCUGUAAGGAGGUUAUUGAUAAAAACCUGUGACAGGGAUGCAGAGAGCACAGGGAUAAGAAGGGAAUUGGUGUAAAACAGCAGCGUUUCCAUAGCAUUGUGGUAUCUGUGUGCAUUAUGGAGGCACUCCAAAGCGGUCACUGCCCAUCGGAGGACCAGCGGUGUCACACCGGCACCUUCAUCCCAAAUUCCCACGGUGUGUGCAAUACGAGCAACCACAAGCUCCUUCCCCAGCAAACAGCUUGAGUGGAUGCACAGGUAUAAAUAAAUCGUGAUUAUGGUGCUUUGUAACCCAAUUGACUGUUUUGCCUCAGUUGUUAAA